UUUAUACUUCCUCCGUCUUAAAAUUCUUGUCUUAGAUUUGUCUAGAUACGGAUGAUUUGUCUAGAUACGGAUGUAUCUAACACUAAAAUAUAGCUAGAUACAUCCGUAUUUAGACAAAUCUAAGACAAGAAUUUUAGGACGGAGGAAGUACUAG
Molecule: non-coding RNA, 154 nt
Organism: Triticum aestivum (bread wheat)
Lineage: Eukaryota; Viridiplantae; Streptophyta; Magnoliopsida; Poales; Poaceae
Source: Rfam